UGGGGAAUAUUGCACAAUGGGCGCAAGCCUGAUGCAGCCAUGCCGCGUGUAUGAAGAAGGCCUUCGGGUUGUAAAGUACUUUCAGCGGGGAGGAAGGGAGUAAAGUUAAUACCUUUGCUCAUUGACGUUACCCGCAGAAGAAGCACCGGCUAACUCCGUGCCAGCAGCCGCGGUAAUACGGAGGGUGCAAGCGUUAAUCGGAAUUACUGGGCGUAAAGCGCACGCAGGCGGUUUGUUAAGUCAGAUGUGAAAUCCCCGGGCUCAACCUGGGAACUGCAUCUGAUACUGGCAAGCUUGAGUCUCGUAGAGGGGGGUAGAAUUCCAGGUGUAGCGGUGAAAUGCGUAGUGAUCUGGAGGAAUACCGGUGGCGAAGGCGGCCCCCUGGACGAAGACUGACGCUCAGGUGCGAAAGCGUGGGGAGCAAACAGG
This 429-nucleotide ribosomal RNA is filed under the name Chloroflexota bacterium. RNAcentral describes it as "Chloroflexi bacterium partial 16S ribosomal RNA". It matches the Rfam family "Bacterial small subunit ribosomal RNA", at positions 355 to 776 of the family's 1533-position model. The record is from RNAcentral. Lineage: Bacteria; Bacillati; Chloroflexota.